GUCUACAGCCAUGCCACCCUAAAUGUGCCCGAUCUUGUCUGAUCUCGGAAAUUAAGCAGGGGGUCGGGCCUGGUUAGUGCUUGGAUAGGAGACCACCUAGGAAGAACCAGGUGCUGUAGGCG
Molecule: ribosomal RNA, 122 nt
Organism: Pteropus vampyrus (large flying fox)
Lineage: Eukaryota; Metazoa; Chordata; Mammalia; Chiroptera; Pteropodidae
Source: Ensembl